GAGUCAGUGGGAUUUUGAAGGACACUUCUGCUGUGGCUUCUGUUCCUUAGCACAGUUUGUCUGGCAUUGGAUUUUCUGGUAAUAAGAGCUGUAUUUCUUCUUAAGCUUUGCAAGUGAGAACAGCAGAUUGGAAGGCACUGUCCAGCAGCCAAGCGAGAGCGUUGAAGCCCUUCCGAGAGCCCUGCAAGCCUCUGCCUCAGGUGGUGAACUUUCCCAGCAGCUGGACAUGGAGCCUGGAACAGGCAUGCAGCUCGAGGCCCUAAACCAGGCUUUGCAAGAAGAGCUGUCCACUCUGCUUGGGAAGUGUGAACAACUGGAGAAGAGCAAAUGUCAGCUGCAAGAAGAGGUGACAAAACUCCACCACCAUUUGGAGACUUUGGUGCUGGAUGGCAGCCAAAGAGAACAGUGUACAAGAGAGGUGGCAGAAGGAGCUGACCAGGAAAGAAGUCCAAAGCUACAAGAGGUCAGCCUCGUUUUGCAAGCACAGGCAGCCCACCAGGCCCCACUAGGAC
Molecule: long non-coding RNA, 512 nt
Organism: Pseudopipra pipra
Lineage: Eukaryota; Metazoa; Chordata; Aves; Passeriformes; Pipridae
Exons: 3
Source: RefSeq, a predicted model, not a curated record